GUUGACCUCGAAUCAGGUAGGACUACCCGCUGAACUUAAGCAUAUCCAUUUCAGAUUACUUAUGGCAAUUCAGCUGCGUUCUGCAUCGAUGCCAGAACCAGAGAUCCGUUGUUGAAAGUUUUGAUUCAGUGUUUUUUUUAACCCACUCAAAUCAUACUUAUUAAAAAUUCAUAAAGUUUGGGUCCCGGGCAGGGCGCGCACGUCCCGCACAAAGCGACAAUUUAACGUAUGAUUCACAGGGGUUGGGAG
This 249-nucleotide ribosomal RNA is filed under the name Metarhizium anisopliae. RNAcentral's name for it is "partial 28S ribosomal RNA". Lineage: Eukaryota; Fungi; Ascomycota; Sordariomycetes; Hypocreales; Clavicipitaceae. The record is from RNAcentral.